GAUGAACGCUGGCGGCGUGCCUAAUACAUGCAAGUCGAGCGAACGCACGAGAAGCUUUUGUCUCUGAUGUUAGCGGCUGACGGGUGAGUAACACGUGGAUAACCUUCUUCUUUGACUGGGGUAACUUCGGGGAACCGGUGCCAAUACCGCAUAAUACGUUCAACCGCAUGGUUCAAAAGUGCAUGACGGCUUUCCCGUCACUAUUAGAUGAAUCCGCGUUGCAUUAGCUAGUUGGUAAGGUAACGGCUUACCAAGGCGACGAUGCGUAGCCGACCUGAGAGGAUGAUCGGCCACACUGGAACUGAGACACGGUCCAGACUCCUACGGGAGGCAGCAGUAGGGAAUCUUCGACAAUGGGCGAAAGCCUGACGCAGCAAUGCCGCGUGAGUGAAGAAGGUCUUCGGGUCGUAAAGCUCUGUUAUUAGGGAAGAACAGAUGUAGGAGAAAACGUGGACGUCUUGACGGUACCUAAACAGAAAGCAACGGCUAACUACGUG
RNAcentral lists this ribosomal RNA (497 nucleotides) under uncultured bacterium. RNAcentral's name for it is "partial 16S ribosomal RNA". It matches the Rfam family "Bacterial small subunit ribosomal RNA", at positions 28 to 507 of the family's 1533-position model. The record is from RNAcentral.